This 406-nucleotide ribosomal RNA is filed under the name uncultured bacterium. RNAcentral's name for it is "partial 16S ribosomal RNA". It matches the Rfam family "Bacterial small subunit ribosomal RNA", at positions 29 to 526 of the family's 1533-position model. The record is from RNAcentral.
AUUGAACGCUAGCGGAAGGCUUCACACAUGAAAGUCGAACGAGUGGCGGACGGGUGAGUAAUGUAUGGGAAACUGCAUGGUGGAGGGGGAUAACUACUGGAACCAGUGGCUAAUACCGCAUACAAUCAGAUGUGCCCAGAUGGGAUUAGCUGGUUGGUGGGGUAACGGCUCACCAAGGCAACGAUCCCUAGAUGGUAUGAGAGGUUGGCCAGCAAAACGGGAAUUGAGACCGGGGCCAGACGCCGACGGGAGGCAGCAGCGGGGAAUUUUGGACAAGGGUGGCAAGCCUGAUGCAGCCAUGCCGCGUGUAUGAAGAAGGCGUUCGGGUUGUAAAGUACUUUCAGCGGGGAGGCGGUAACCGAAGAAUAAGCACCGGCUAACUCCGUGCCAGCAGCCGCGGUAAUUC